GACAGAGGUGCCGAGCGUUAGGCGGAAUCACUGGGCUUAAAGCGUGUGUAGGCGGGCCGUUAAGUAUCUUGUGAAAUCCCCCGGCUCAACCGGGGAAUGGCUGGAUAUACUGGCGGUCUUGAGCAGUCUAGGGGCAGAUGGAACAGACGGUGGAGCGGUGAAAUGCGUAGAUAUCGUCUGGAACGCCAAAGGUGAAGACGGUCUGCUGGGGACUUGCUGACGCUGAGACACGAAAGCCAGGGGAGCGAACGGG
Molecule: ribosomal RNA, 253 nt
Filed under: uncultured bacterium
Lineage: Bacteria
Description: partial 16S ribosomal RNA
Rfam family: Bacterial small subunit ribosomal RNA
Source: RNAcentral